This 343-nucleotide unclassified non-coding RNA is filed under the name soil metagenome. RNAcentral's name for it is "partial contains 5.8S ribosomal RNA, internal transcribed spacer 2, and large subunit ribosomal RNA". The stretch from base 1 to 120 matches the Rfam family "5.8S ribosomal RNA", at positions 35 to 154 of the family's 154-position model. The record is from RNAcentral.
GAUGAAGAACUUAGCGAAAUGCGAUAAGUAAUGUGAAUUGCAGAAUUCAGUGAAUCAUCGAAUCUUUGAACGCACAUUGCGCCCGCCAGCAUUCUGGCGGGCAUGCCUGUUCGAGCGUCAUUUCAACCCUCGACCUCCCCUUGGGGAGGUCGGCGUUGGGGACCGGCAGCACACCGCCGGCCCUGAAAUGGAGUGGCGGCCCGUCUGCGGCGACCUCUGCGUAGUAAUACAGCUCGCACCGGAACCCCGACGCGGCCACGCCGUAAAACACCCAACUUCUGAACGUUGACCUCGAAUCAGGUAGGACUACCCGCUGAACUUAAGCAUAUCAAUAAGCGGAGGA